This 492-nucleotide ribosomal RNA is filed under the name uncultured bacterium. RNAcentral describes it as "SSU rRNA". It matches the Rfam family "Bacterial small subunit ribosomal RNA", at positions 26 to 518 of the family's 1533-position model. The record is from RNAcentral.
AGAGUGAACGCUGGCGGCAUGCCUAACACAUGCAAGUCGAACGGUAACAGGCCCGCAAGGGUGCUGACGAGUGGCGGACGGGUGAGGAAUACAUCGGAAUCUGCCCGGUUGUGGGGGAUAACGUAGGGAAACUUACGCUAAUACCGCAUACGUCCUACGGGAGAAAGCGGGGGAUCUUCGGACCUCGCGCGGUCAGACGGACCGAUGUUCGAUUAGCUAGUUGGUAAGGUAAUGGCUUACCAAGGCGACGAUCGAUAGCUGGUCUGAGAGGAUGAUCAGCCACACUGGAACUGAGACACGGUCCAGACUCCUACGGGAGGCAGCAGUGGGGAAUAUUGGACAAUGGGCGCAAGCCUGAUCCAGCAAUGCCGCGUGUGUGAAGAAGGCCUUCGGGUUGUAAGCACUUUAUCGGAACGAAUACCACGGGUUAAUAACCUGUGGGCGUGACGGUACCCGAGGAAUAAGCACCGGCUAACUCGUGCCAGCAGCCGC